AGCUUGCUAGGAGGCGUCGAGCGGCGGACGGGUGAGUAACGCAUAGGAAUCUGCCCGGUAGUGGGGGAUAACCUGGGGAAACCCAGGCUAAUACCGCAUACGUCCUACGGGAGAAAGCAGGGGAUCUUCGGACCUUGCGCUAUCGGAUGAGCCUAUGUCGGAUUAGCUGGUUGGUGAGGUAAUGGCUCACCAAGGCGACGAUCCGUAGCUGGUCUGAGAGGAUGAUCAGCCACAUCGGGACUGAGACACGGCCCGAACUCCUACGGGAGGCAGCAGUGGGGAAUAUUGGACAAUGGGCGCAAGCCUGAUCCAGCCAUGCCGCGUGUGUGAAGAAGGCCNUCGGGUUGUAAAGCACUUUCAGUGGGGAAGAAAUCCUCGGGGCUAAUACCCUCGAGGGAGGACAUCACCCACAGAAGAAGCACCGGCUAACUCCGUGCCAGCAGCCGCGGUAAUACGGAGGGUGCGAGCGUUAAUCGGAAUUACUGGGCGUAAAGCGCGCGUAGGCGGCCUGAUAAGCCGGUUGUGAAAGCCCCGGGCUCAACCUGGGAACGGCAUCCGGAACUGUCAGGCUAGAGUGCAGGAGAGGAAGGUAGAAUUCCCGGUGUAGCGGUGAAAUGCGUAGAGAUCGGGAGGAAUACCAGUGGCGAAGGCGGCCUUCUGGACUGACACUGACGCUGAGGUGCGAAAGCGUGGGUAGCAAACAGGAUUAGAUACCCUGGUAGUCCACGCCGUAAACGAUGUCGACUAG
This 748-nucleotide ribosomal RNA is filed under the name bacterium Ss45. Its description in RNAcentral is "bacterial SSU rRNA". It matches the Rfam family "Bacterial small subunit ribosomal RNA", at positions 77 to 819 of the family's 1533-position model. The record is from RNAcentral.